GUCUCUCACUUCAACAGCAGCCGUUCUCCCCUUUCCCUGUCCAGUCAUUUUUCAGAUUGUUCUUCAACUCGUAUUUGAUUUUCAUUUCAAAUCACAAAAGUUUCUUUCGGAUUUUUUGUUUGUUUGUUUUUGUUUUUGAAUUUGUUGGAUUUUUGGGUGCAGUGAGACUUCGUGGAUAUUGUCUGUUCUGAAGUGAGAAACAGAAAGGGCUUACGUGUUCCAUAUAGAGCUGGUUACAAAGGUUUUGGUUAUCCUUCGUUUCCAAAAUAGUGGUCAUGUACUUCAGCAAAGAGUGGUCCAGCAUUCACCCUAUUCCAAAUAUCAAGAAAAACUUUUGGUUCCUAUUCUAAGCUAGCACAAAAUAAUCUAAAACUGGGAACUGAGAUACUUUGUACGUCAGACCAAAAGCAAAGUGAUUGGAUACCACACAUGGGCUUAGAAAUUUGAAAUAUAAAGUUAGGGAUAGUGGUUUUACAUUGCAAUCCUUCGCUACUUCAUUGCAUCGGUAAAAUUUCCUAUGAAAGUUCAUUGUAUUGCGGUCCAUUUGUUUGAUUUUCAAAUUGUCUUUUUCUUUGAGUGUGACUGAUCUGACAUUGUUUACUUUUUUUUCCUACUCUAUGUUUCUUUGGUCUACAUAUGGGUAUCUAUUGUUCAAACCAUGCAUUGCCUGAAUGGGGGACAAUUGUUCAUGAGCCAUAGUCACAACCUCUCCAAGCAUCAACAAUAGCUGCAAUGGCAAUGACACCAAGGUUCUUGAUUUAUUUGAGAUGAGUCAUUCUUCCACUAUUUGGUGCUCAUAAAUUCCUCCACUAUGGAAUUUGAGAAGUUGCUUAAUGCUUUGUUAGUGCUCUUUGAUAAUUUAUAUGUUGUUGAUAGGUUUUGAAUAAUUUGUACAGUUAUUAUCUGUGUUGUUAUUCUUAAAUUGUUGCUUUCAGUUAUAAUUCUGUUGUGGCUGUGUUUUGUAUAUGGUUUUUUCCUUAAUUAAAUUUGUGUAUCUAUUUAAUUGAUUAGUAGAUUGGUUUAGAAUU
Molecule: long non-coding RNA, 1028 nt
Organism: Quercus robur (English oak)
Lineage: Eukaryota; Viridiplantae; Streptophyta; Magnoliopsida; Fagales; Fagaceae
Exons: 4
Source: RefSeq, a predicted model, not a curated record